RNAcentral lists this ribosomal RNA (407 nucleotides) under uncultured bacterium. RNAcentral's name for it is "partial 16S ribosomal RNA". It matches the Rfam family "Bacterial small subunit ribosomal RNA", at positions 29 to 526 of the family's 1533-position model. The record is from RNAcentral.
AGCGAACGCUGGCGGUAGGCUUAACACAUGCAUGUCGAGGGGAGCGGCAGACGGGUGAGUAACGCGUGGGAACGUACCUUUUGGUUCGGAACAACACAGGGAAACUUUUGCUAAUACUGGAUACCGAAAGAUCGGCCCGCGUUGGAUUAGCUAGUUGGUGAGGUCAUGGCCCACCCAGGCGACGAUCAGUAGCUGGUCUGAGAGGAGGAUCAGCCACAUUGGGACUGCGACACUGCCCAAACUCAUGCGGGGGGCAGCAGUGGGGAAUAUUGGGCAGUGGGGGCAACCCUGAGCCAGCCAUGUCGUGUGAGUGAUGAAGGCCCUAGGGUUGUAAAGCUCUUUUGAGCGGGAAGCGGAACCGCAAGAAUAAGCCCCGGCUGACGUCGUGCCAGCAGCCGCGGUAAUAC